This 570-nucleotide long non-coding RNA is filed under the name Trifolium pratense (red clover). RNAcentral's name for it is "long non-coding RNA (TPRA_LNC007997)". The record is from RNAcentral. Lineage: Eukaryota; Viridiplantae; Streptophyta; Magnoliopsida; Fabales; Fabaceae.
AGAGGAUCAACCAAAGAAGAGACAAUCAAAGAGAAGAAUUGAGACCAAAAAUUCAAAUUUAUCUUCGAUGAGAACUUUUCACAAACACAUUGUGAGCACCAUUUUAACUCACCGAAUUAACCAAUUCAAACAAAUCCAAACACAACCUUGAACCGAAAGAAACCACAACACGAGAGAAACAAAAAAUCCACUUGACUAUGGAUUUAUCCAAAACUCACAAACAAACAUAAUCCACAAGACAUGUUGGUAGUAAUCAAAUACCUCCACCCAUGUUAUACUUUUCCCACCAAACCUGCUUGUUGAUUCAAGUGCAAAGAAAGUUUCUAUGCCCAUGGAAUAACAAAAACAAAACAAUACGGCAAAAAUCAAAACCACAAAGCAAGAUGCACCUUUACGUCUAAUAACAAUAUCGCAACUCGCAAGAACGAAGAGGCAACAUUUGUAUCCACCAACACCAACAUUGCAGAAGAAACCCAACUUACAAAUUAAAUAAAACCAAUCAUCAGAACUUAAACCAAACACAUUCCCAAACUAUUUUGGGAAUUCGAUAGCGGAAGCGAUUAAUGAUUC